This 3907-nucleotide long non-coding RNA is filed under the name Mus musculus (house mouse). Its description in RNAcentral is "long non-coding RNA chr5:13481027-13484934". Lineage: Eukaryota; Metazoa; Chordata; Mammalia; Rodentia; Muridae. The record is from RNAcentral.
UCCAUUCCUGCAGUCAGCACAGUUGUUCAUGAAAUUCAGAGACAGUUUUUUUUUUUUCAAGUAGACCAAUUCAUUGAGAAGAUGAGAGAAGGGAGAUUGAAUCAGUCAGCUUGGAGAGGAGUUUGACCCAGAAUAGCUAUGCUGAAGCAGCCAGCCAGAGAUCAGAAAGAACUAGAUUAGGUGAGCUUACUAAGCAGUAAGUGUGUGACAUGACAGUUAUAUCAGGUGAAUAAAUGUUACUUUUCUAUCCUCUGACUGUAUCACAUCCAAUAUCUUCCCCCAACCUCUGCCCCUGUCUCCAUGAGGAUAUCUCCAUCCCCGACUCCUUUGCACCAGACCUCUAAACUCCCUGACCAACCCAAAGAAAAAUAAAUAAAUAAAUAAUAAAAUUACUUUUCCAGGUAUUGUCAUUGUUCAAGACUUGUUUAGGCAAUUUUCUAGUUUCUCUAUCAGGAGUUUAGCGUCUCUCCUUGCUAGGAGACAGUAUCUUACACAGGCUUCCUGGCUGUUUGACUUUUACAGUCUUUCAGUCCCAUUUGCAUUGCACGCCCUGAGCCUUGGUGAAUACGCUGUCUUGUAGAUGCCUUUGGGGAUAGACAUGCCAUUAUAAGUUGUUGUCAGCAUUUUGACGAGUUGAUUGUUGCCAUUUACUGCAAAGAGAAGCUUCUUUGGUGAACCAUGAGAGCUGCACUUACCUGCAGCCUGUAAGGAUGUACUUUGAAUGCAGUUAGAUGCUAUGCUGGUCUGGGAAAAGAUGACAUAGUGGUUUUUCUCCUAAAAUGCACAAGGAGAGUAAAAAUAAGCAGAUGGAAUUAAUUUUAAUAAUAUUUUAAUUACAUAAAAGUAUUCAAAAUAUUGUUUAUACGUAUUAUUCAUUUAUAACAUUUAUAAUUUUCUUUGAUUUUAAUUGGAUAUUUUUUAAUUUAUAUUUCAAGUGUUAUCCCCUUCCCUGGUUUUCUUCUAAGAAUGACCGAAGCAUCCACACUUUGGUCUUCCUUCUGCUUGAGCUUCAUGUUUACUAAGCUCAGUUUAGACUAGUCUGAUUUGGAGUACCUGGUGACCCAAUGUGGCUGGCAGCUAUAGCCCAGUCUACAAAGUAUGCUAAGGGCAGAAAACUCAAUCACUGACAACUAUUAUGCCCACAUUAGCAGUUGAGUACAGGAGAGCUGGGCAGGAAGGUCCAGCCGAGACUGGGGAGACAGGCUGUGCUAAUGAGAACAGUGCAAAGAUGACCAUGAUAAGCAAAGUAGAUCCCUGGCAUGGAGCUUUUAUUUCUUAGAUUUGGGAGAAUAGUAGAAAGUAAUUGAGGGUAGAUCUAUUCAUAUAUAAGCUUCCCUCCUGGCUGAAUAACAAAGGAUGAAUAACAAUGAAUGAGUAGCAAUUUGUAGCUAGAUAAAAAUAUGGAGAAUAUCUUCUAGGUAAGAUACUAAGAGGAAUGAGGAAGAUUAAAAAUAUACAGACCCUACAGACACAUAAAAAUCUAACUUCAAUAUGGGUUAAUGUAGAACUAAUUAAUAUUAAUUAUUUCAAUGUGGGGUUGCUACCUGCCCCAAUGAUCUAGGUUCCCAAAUGAAAGACACAUGCACAGCCUUUAUAUUUUAAGAUGUCUUAAGCAGCACAAUAGCUUGGCCACUGCCUAGCCUCUGAGUAGUUAAUGCCAUGUUAUUAUUUAAUAAUUCUAUGUUUUAUCUUGGCUGCCCUGGAUACUGUUGGACAGCUUUCUGGGCCCUGCUUUUCCACCUCCAUGACAUGGAAUGUCAUGGAAUACCUCCUUCUCAGGCAUGGUGUCUCUCUUCUUCCCCACACUCUCCUGGCAUGGUGGAUCUGUCCCUUCCUCUUCCUCCCAGACCCAAGCCAAGGAAAUCCUAUCCGGCCUCUGUCUUUCCUACCCAGCUAUUGGCUAUUGGUAUCUUUAUUUACCAAUCAGAAACAACUGAGGGUAGGUUUCCAGAAUUUACAUGCAGAUGCUCUUAUGCAAGCAGGGAUUUUUUGGGGGGGAGGGGGGAGAACUUAAUUAAUAUUCAUAAUACAAGAGCUACAGCUUAAUUAAAAUUAAAUUAUAAUUAAAAUAAUAAUUAUAUUCCUCCAAAGUAAGGUUUAUCAACCAAUCUAUGUAUUGCUUGCUGUCUGUUUUAUCUACUGAUUCAUCGCAAAAUUUGAUGAAAUUGAUACUCUAGUUAAUUAUGUUUUCCCAAUGAGAAAGCUAAAAUUCUUAGAGUAAUUUUAACGCACCUGAAUCCAGCACACUAGGCAAUGGUUUUGGUUUCUGUCUGUACUCAAAACCUGCAUCAUGAACACAUGACUUACAGAAUGCAGGAGGAACUGAAAUGACUGAUCCUGUUUUAUGAUAGGGAGUCAAAUUUAAUUUUCCUAUAUUUGUAUUUCAAAUCUAGUUUGGACCAGGUGACAAGUGUGGACAAGGACGCAGCUGGAGUAAGCAAGGGCUGGCAUCUUCAAACUGGAAUCUGAAAACUGAAUGGCAUAUGAAUACUUGUAGGAGGCAGUGUAGGCAGUGUGAGCAAUGGCUCAAAGGACAGUGGCAGGAAUGACCGUCAGUCAACAGGGAAAGGGGGAAUAGCACAGGAUCCAUGGAACAUUUCAAGUACGGAAGCUGGAAAUUACAUUAAAGGUUGAGUUGAGAAAAACAAAUUGAGAGCUUUCAGGGGUUUUACCAAGAGAGUGAUACUACUCCCAUUAUUCAAACAGAAAUAUAUUUCUGGGGCAUAAAUUAGGGGAGGAAGGGAGCAAUCCAAACAUCCGUUUUGAGACCAUGGCAAAGGUCUAAUACCAACUGAAAAAGCUAAACUGCGACCAGGUGAGAGACACUGGGCCAACUGUGAGAUUCUCAAAGGAAAACAGGAAGUUAAAACAUCCUUUGAAUUUAAUAAAUUAGUGAAGAAUAGCUGCAACGGUGAGAGCUCAUACUUUCUAGAGGUAAGAUGGCCUUCAACUUGUCUUGUGAUAAAAAGGCAAACCUUUUGUAGCUUCUAUAAAGUCAAUAUUUACUCCAUGGUGUAUGAAUAAAGAGCAUGCAUGUUAUUCAAGAACACUAAGGUAUUACAUACGAAUAUAUUGGGAACUCCUAUCCUGGAAUUACAAAAAAAUAAGUAUUCCAAACUUGGAAAUCCGUAGAAAAGCAUGCUAUAUAAGACUCACUAUGAACACAGUGCAAACUCAUCCUAUUCAAAAAGCUCCCUAAAACAGCAAAAACCUAUAAAAUGAAUAAAUAUCACUAUAAAUAGGAACUUUUAAGUGAAACUUACUGACAUGCUAUCUUUAACCUUUGUUGCAUAUCUGUGUAUUGGAAACAUUUAAGGAACAUUGUUUCUAACGACUUCCUAGUUAACUUCUUCAGUUUCCCCCUGGUUACAAGGACUUUCUAAGAUGACUGUUUUAGUUAAUAGUAUCAGUGUCUACCAGACUUGAUAUAGUGAAUGACUUUUAUCAACAGUAAAACAUUUGAUGUUCAGAACCCUGAGAUGUAAACAUUUCUUUAUCUUUCCUUUGGGAAAAAAUGGAAACUCAGAAGGGAUUCAAGAAGUGACUGAUCUUCACACAGUAAGAAAUGUGUUUUCCUCACUAUUGCAACAUAUGACCUUUUUGUAUGGUAUUAACACUACAAUACACCAUUGGUGGGAUGCUAUGCCAUGUGUUUAUUAAUAUUCAAGUCUGCAUCAUUUCAAACAUUACAUUUUAGGUUAGUGGACCACCAGUUAGAUUAUCAGAUCAUUCCUGAAAGCAUCAUUAACUGCUUAGUGCUGAGAAAUUGACAGUCCAUGUUAAUUGGGUAAAAUUCCAUGGCAGUGAUUACUCCAUAGAGUCUCUUAAUAGAAUAUAAAGGUGCAAUGAUCAGGGAGUGUUGUAAUACACAUUGACUACUUAAUAUACAAAUAUUGAUGAGCUUUCC